GUGGGGAAUAUUGGACAAUGGGCGCAAGCCUGAUCCAGCCAUGCCGCGUGAGUGAUGAAGGCCCUAGGGUUGUAAAGCUCUUUCACCGGAGAAGAUAAUGACGGUAUCCGGAGAAGAAGCCCCGGCUAACUUCGUGCCAGCAGCCGCGGUAAUACGAAGGGGUCUAGCGUUGUUCGGAAUUACUGGGCGUAAAGCGCACGUAGGCGGACAUUUAAGUCAGGGGUGAAAUCCCGGGGCUCCACCCCGGAACUGCCUUUGAUACUGGGUGUCUGGAGUAUGGAAGAGGUAAGUGGAAUUCCGAGUGUAGAGGUGAAAUUCGUAGAUAUUCGGAGGAACACCAGUGGCGAAGGCGGCUCACUGGACCGUUGUUGACGCUGAGGUGCGAAAGCGUGGGGAGCAAACAGGAUUAGAAACCCGAGUAGUCC
This 425-nucleotide ribosomal RNA is filed under the name uncultured bacterium. RNAcentral describes it as "partial 16S ribosomal RNA". It matches the Rfam family "Bacterial small subunit ribosomal RNA", at positions 354 to 796 of the family's 1533-position model. The record is from RNAcentral.